Molecule: ribosomal RNA, 213 nt
Filed under: uncultured bacterium
Lineage: Bacteria
Description: partial 16S ribosomal RNA
Rfam family: Bacterial small subunit ribosomal RNA
Source: RNAcentral
UAGGGAAUCUUCCACAAUGGACGCAAGUCUGAUGGAGCAACGCCGCGUGAGUGAAGAAGGUUUUCGGACCGUAAAGCUCUGUUGUUGGUGAAGAAGGAUAGAGGUAGUAACUGGCCUUUAUUUGACGGUAAUCAACCAGAAAGUCACGGCUAACUACGUGCCAGCAGCCGCGGUAAUACGUAGGUGGCAAGCGUUGUCCGGAUUUAUUGGGCG